UACGAAGGGGGCUAGCGUUGCUCGGAAUCACUGGGCGUAAAGCGCACGUAGGCGGAUUGCUAAGUCAGGGGUGAAAUCCUGGAGCUCAACUCCAGAACUGCCUUUGAUACUGGCGGUCUCGAGUCCGGGAGAGGUGAGUGGAACUCCGAGUGUAGAGGUGAAAUUCGUAGAUAUUCGGAAGAACACCAGUGGCGAAGGCGGCUCACUGGCCCGGUACUGACGCUGAGGUGCGAAAGCGUGGGGAGCAAACAGG
Molecule: ribosomal RNA, 253 nt
Filed under: uncultured bacterium
Lineage: Bacteria
Description: partial 16S ribosomal RNA
Rfam family: Bacterial small subunit ribosomal RNA
Source: RNAcentral